AAGUUGAAGUUUCGAUUUAAGAAUUUUCCGUAAUACAGUAUCAGAGAAUACCGAAGUUUUAGAAUGUUAAAAACCCUUUUAUAUUAAAAAGGGCUGUUUUUUUGUCUACGACAAAUUUUAUUACCGAGGAUUUUGCUGCCGAAAGUUUGGAUUAGAAGCAUCUAAAUUCCGUUCGGAUACCAUAAUAGGAUAUCUGAUUGAACUCUUUUCCUGUAUCAACCAUCACAAUAUACAGUGCCUCUCGAGUAACCACCUUAUAGAAAGAAGUUCCAUCAGGCCGUCCAACAGCAAGGCCAGUAUAGUCACUACCUCAGUGAACGAAUUGAUUAUUAUUUUAAAGGAAGAGUUUGGUGUACGUGUAUCUAUUGAUUAGUUCAAGUACUGGCGAAAUUAGCUAUCUAUCCAAUAUAAAUUUGUAGAGAAUAUCAUAAGUGUAAGAGUACUAACCCCUUUAUUUGAGAAUUUUGAACAACCUUUUUAGACUAUUAAAUAUUCUCAGAUUA
Coccinella septempunctata (seven-spotted ladybird) is the source of this 503-nucleotide long non-coding RNA. RefSeq lists it as uncharacterized. The record is from RefSeq and is a predicted model, not a curated record. NCBI's taxonomy places the organism in Eukaryota, Metazoa, Arthropoda, Insecta, Coleoptera, Coccinellidae. The transcript has 2 exons.